UCACAUAAAUUGAGACACAGGACUACCAUUUCAUACAGGAUCGACACAGAGCAAUCAACAUCCACGAAAAACAAAAAAAUCAAUUGCAUUAUCUUCUUUACAAUUUUCGUUUUGCGAAGCUCACAAGGGAAAUAAUUCUAUUUUGGCUAAUCUCUGCACAUAAAAUGCAUAGGUAUGUUGAAGGCAUUGUUAGCAAGGGAACUAAAAUUUACAUGAGAAAAUGAAAGGACACUUGCAUUAUUCUCUUUAUACAUUAUUAAGGAGGCAGACUUACAUGGAUGGGAAUAGGUCACUCACUGACCCCGCUAACUUUGGAAUACAUAUAUAGCGCAAUCACAGAACAAUAGAAAAGAUUCUGGUAAUAUAUGGAAAGAUUCAUCACAAUCUUCGCGUAUUAAAACAAGAAUAUCCCAAUCAAGUCAUCGAGUGACUUAAAAUAGCAUCUAUGCUUAGUCCCAUCCAGCGAAACCUUGAAAACAAUCAUAUAUUUCAUCGGGCACUAUAAGAACAUCUGAGACAAUCUACCACGAGAGGAAUACAAUCUAGUUUUGGAUUUGUAGACAUCACUUAGCUUCCAUCAUCACUAGCUUUAGAUUCGUCGUCACCACUAGUUUCUUGUUCCCGGUAGCAGAGAUUGCAAUAAGAAAGUACAAUUUUGAUGCAUCAUAUUUCUAACUAGAAAUAUUUGGCAACUAGAAAAAAGUUGAUUCAACGCACAAAACCAAAAAUAACUAACUGAAUAAGAGAAUUUACUAGCUACAGAACAUGUUAUAUAUAUAUAACACUUAAGCUAGGUGUAUUAAUGUUGGAGACAAAUAUAAAUUAGUUAUACAGAGGCACAAGACAAACCUUGAAUAGAAGUUCUAUAUCGUCUUACUGAGAUCAUUUUGCGCCUAAGCAUCUUGAUUUCCCCCUCUACUAUCAUCAUUCCUCCAGCUUGGUUUACUCAUGGAUCUUAGGACAAACGUCUUCAUUUCAGUACUGCUUUUAAUGUCCAUUUCUCUAAGAAAUGGAAAUUCUAGAGCGUUCUUCAUCAGAAAGAAAUGAAAUGUGGUAGCUUGCUAAGCUCCAGCUUUUCCAACAGGGAAAUAAGAACUUGUUAGUCAUUUCUUCUCCUAGUUCCUCUCCCGUCAUCACUUCUCCUUUGAUGGAUAAUUUACUAUCAACAAUAUUCAGAGAUUCAAAACAUAUAUGGAGACAUCAAGUUUCACAAUUUGUCAUACUGAUUACUUCCAAUAUUUUGAGUUCACUGAACUAGCCAGUCGGCCGGGGGUCUAUCGGAAACAGCCUCUCUACCUCUUGAGAGGUAGUGGUAUGGAUUGCGUACACACUACCCUACCCUCCCCAGACCCCACUAUGUGGGAAUAUACUGGGUUUGUUGUUGUUGUUGAAAUAGUCAGUCGAAAGUUGGUGAGAGCGUAAAGCGGUUAUGUUGUCAUCCCCAACGAGGUCUAGUCUUUACAGGCUCAAAAGUUUGGAAGCCAUGCAUUUCAUACAUCUUCAAUUACAAACAGAAAAAAUGGAACCACAUCUCAAUAUCCAACAUUAAGGUAACAUGAAGUAAAGAAAUCCAUUCAACUUGGUCGGCACAUUUUUUGAGCCAUUUCUGCUUGUGAAUAUACGUUCGCUCUUCUUAUUUCUCAUCAGGAGGCAGAUUCAAUAACCCAAUGAGAUGGUCUCAAUAACAUGGAGAUCUAUAUUCAUGUAAUAAGUGUUUGACAGCAAAGACACAUGGCAAAAACAACCUUCGUCCACUUUUAAAUCGUAGUGUUAACUUGGAGGAACGGACCACUCUAAUAAAAUUCAUAUCCAAAACUCUAUUAGUCAAUUUUUGUAUCUUUUGUGACAACACCUUUAAACAAGGGCGUAAUGGAGCUACAUAUUAACACAUUGAGUUUACUCAUUCCAACGAAUAAAUCAUUAAAAUAGUUUUAACAUUCACCACUCAAGCAAAACAUUGGUUUAGGAUCAACUACCAAAUAAUUUUCUAUAUUGAAAAUGAAAAGCACGAACAACAUUGGAUAUCAUCACAAAUUCCUUUCCAGACGAAUCUAAUUCGAGAGUUCUAUGCAAUCACAAACCCCUCCUUAAUCUGGUCCGAGAAUUUUAUGCGAUUACAAAUCGCUUCUGGUCCGAGAAUUUUAUGCGAUUACAAAUCGCUUCUCGAAGCUAGAUGCUCUAGAAGCUAGUGAGAGAAUUUUAUGCAAUUACUGCCUGCCGAAAAUAGUCCGAAAAUCCUAUAACGGGUGAGAUAAAAAAUUCUAUGCUAUUACCAAUCUCUUCCUAUAACGGGUGAGAUCAAACUCUAACACGUGCCUAUUCUAUUACCAAUCUCUUCGGUGCGAUCAAACACGUGCCUACUUCGGGUGCGAUCAAACUCUACAGCCUUUUUAGAACAUGUGCCUGCUCUGGUUUAACUACACGUUCAACAGCCAAAUCCGCACUUUGGAAGAAGCAGCUCCUAAACCAAAUCCACACUUUGGAAGAAAAGGAGAGGAUCUUCAUCCGAGAAAGGGAGGACCUUAUAGUUAGGAUGGCCUUCUGCAUCCGCAGUGAAAACAACUAAGCGUUGUUCGACUCAUCUGGAGUUGAAGAAGGUUUAACUGAAUGUCUGUUCUGUAAUGUGUUUUAAUUAAAGUUGUUCUUGUUUUUUGUGGAGAUCUACUACUAUGCGUUGCAUCUUCGUUGAGUAUGUAUUCCCUUAUAAUGUUGUGUUGUGUGGCUGAUCUAUACGACCUUCCCAUAUAAGAAAAUGCAAUACAAGUGAUUUCUUUUCUACCCCUACCAUACCACAUAUUCCAAUAAUAGUGAUGCUUUCAUUUCUCAAAGCCACCAUUACCUCUUCCUCAAUCGAUUUUCUUGAUGCAAACUCCUCAUCGCCGUUAUUUGGUAUAGCUUCAAUUCCAACAAGUGGUGCAGGAUAGGAGAAAUCAACAUAAUCUCCGCCAUCCACUGCAAUUUUCUUAGCUCUUCUGCUCAGCAAGUAACUGUUAGAUCUACAAAAUUGCAGAUUCAUGUGUUGAGAAAACCCUAAAGGUGGAGAAGAAAGAGGAGAAACAGUGUUUCAUUGUGUAAUGAGUUCAUCUGUACAUUAGGCGUAUUUACCUAAAUAAUAGAAAUAUGGACGGGCCAAUGCCAACUUGGGCCUGGAUCAACAUUUUGAAACAUGGGCCGAUG
RNAcentral lists this long non-coding RNA (3177 nucleotides) under Capsicum annuum. RNAcentral's name for it is "long non-coding RNA (CANN_LNC000237)". Lineage: Eukaryota; Viridiplantae; Streptophyta; Magnoliopsida; Solanales; Solanaceae. The record is from RNAcentral.